CCUACGGGAGGCUGCAGUGGGGAAUAUUGCACAAUGGGCGCAAGCCUGAUGCAGCCAUGCCGCGUGUGUGAAGAAGGCCUUCGGGUUGUAAAGCACUUUCAGCGGGGAGGAAGGCGUUAAGGUUAAUAACCUUGUCGAUUGACGUUACCCGCAGAAGAAGCACCGGCUAGCUCCGUGCCAGCAGCCGCGGUAAUACGGAGGGUGCAAGCGUUAAUCGGAAUUACUGGGCGUAAAGCGCACGCAGGCGGUCUGUCAAGUCGGAUGUGAAAUCCCCGGGCUCAACCUGGGAACUGCAUUCGAAACUGGCAGGCUAGAGUCUUGUAGAGGGGGGUAGAAUUCCAGGUGUAGCGGUGAAAUGCGUAGAGAUCUGGAGGAAUACCGGUGGCGAAGGCGGCCCCCUGGACAAAGACUGACGCUCAGGUGCGAAAGCGUGGGGAGCAAACAGGAUUAGAUACCCUAGUAGUC
RNAcentral lists this ribosomal RNA (465 nucleotides) under uncultured Klebsiella sp. RNAcentral describes it as "bacterial SSU rRNA". It matches the Rfam family "Bacterial small subunit ribosomal RNA", at positions 338 to 795 of the family's 1533-position model. The record is from RNAcentral. Lineage: Bacteria; Pseudomonadati; Pseudomonadota; Gammaproteobacteria; Enterobacterales; Enterobacteriaceae.